Molecule: ribosomal RNA, 468 nt
Filed under: uncultured bacterium
Lineage: Bacteria
Description: partial 16S ribosomal RNA
Rfam family: Bacterial small subunit ribosomal RNA
Source: RNAcentral
GACGAACGCUGGCGGCGUGCUUAACACAUGCAAGUCGAACGGAAAGGCCCUGCUUUUGUUGGGUGCUCGAGUGGCGAACGGGUGAGUAACACGUGAGUAACCUGCCCUUGACUUUGGGAUAACUUCAGGAAACUGGGGCUAAUACCGGAUAGGAGCUCCUGCUGCAUGGUGGGGGUUGGAAAGUUUCGGCGGUUGGGGAUGGACUCGCGGCUUAUCAGCUUGUUGGUGGGGUAGUGGCUUACCAAGGCUUUGACGGGUAGCCGGCCUGGGAGGGUGACCGGCCACAUUGGGACUGAGAUACGGCGCAGACUCGUACGGGAGGCAGCAGUGGGGAAUAUUGCACAAUGGGCGGAAGCCUGAUGCAGCAACGCCGCGUGCGGGAUGACGGCCUGCGGGUUGUAAACCGCUUUCGCCUGUGACGAAGCGUGAGUGACGGUAAUGGGUAAAGAAGCACCGGCUAACUACGUG